RNAcentral lists this ribosomal RNA (484 nucleotides) under uncultured bacterium. RNAcentral's name for it is "partial 16S ribosomal RNA". It matches the Rfam family "Bacterial small subunit ribosomal RNA", at positions 30 to 507 of the family's 1533-position model. The record is from RNAcentral.
AUUGAACGCUGGCGGCAGGCCUAACACAUGCAAGUCGAGCGGAUGAAGGGAGCUUGCUCCUGGAUUCAGCGGCGGACGGGUGAGUAAUGCCUAGGAAUCUGCCUGGUAGUGGGGGAUAACGUCCGGAAACGGGCGCUAAUACCGCAUACGUCCUGAGGGAGAAAGUGGUGGUUCUUCGGACCUCACGCUAUCAGAUGAGCCUAGGUCGGAUUAGCUAGUUGGUGGGGUAAAGGCCUACCAAGGCGACGAUCCGUAACUGGUCUGAGAGGAUGAUCAGUCACACUGGAACUGAGACACGGUCCAGACUACUACGGGAGGCAGCAGUGGGGAAUAUUGGAAAAUGGGCGAAAGCCUGAUACAGAAAUGCCGAGUGUGUGAAGAAGGUCUUCGGAUUGUAAAGCACUUUAAGGUGGGAGGAAGGGAAGUAAGUUAAUACCUUGAUGUUUUGACGUUACCAACAGAAUAAGCACCGGCUAACUUCGUG